UAUAACUAAAGUCAAAAGUUAACACUUUUUUUUGUAUAGUACAAUUAUUCUGUAAAGGGACAUUAUAGUCACCAGAACAAUUACAGCUUAAUGUAGUUGUUCUGGUGAGUAUAGACUAUCCCUGUAGGCAUUUUCAAAUACACACUACCUUUUCAGAGAAAAAGUGAUAACAUUGCCCCCUAGGGACACCUCCAGUGGCUACUCCUCAGAAUGCCACUGAAGGUGCUUCCUGGGGAAGUGCUGCACAGUGUGCAUCACUGCCAUUCAGUGUAUCCACCCUAUGCAUGAGGACACUAAACUUUACUCAGAGAGUUGCAUUGAUUCAAUGAAUCUCUAUGAGGAAGUGCUGAUUGGCCAAGCUGGGGUUUGGAAACUCCAGUCCCA
Pelobates cultripes (western spadefoot toad) is the source of this 384-nucleotide non-coding RNA. The record is from the annotation of a GenBank genome assembly. NCBI's taxonomy places the organism in Eukaryota, Metazoa, Chordata, Amphibia, Anura, Pelobatidae.